UCUAAAAGUUAUAGAUAAAAAUUUAUUUGAUUUACAAAUAUAAACAAACCGUCGAUCACAACAAAUCGUGUUUACAAAUGGCGUUUUCACAAUAUUUCAAACUCGAACCAAAUAAUUUAAUAAAAAGUUUGUCACGUUAAAUGUCAUGGGUAAUAAUUUGUGUUGUUGUUUUAGGAAGAGAUCAAAAAAGAAUAUCUGUGUGCUCCUUCUCGGUUUGGACAACGCUGGUAAAACGGUAGCAGUAAGAUCGUUGGCCAAUGAACCAAUUGAUGAAGUUGUACCCACUGUUGGAUUUUCAAUAGUUAAUUUAAAUUAUAAUGGUUAUAAUGUGAAGAUGUAUGAUUUGGGUGGAGGUGUUACGAUUAGAGGAAUAUGGCAUCGAUAUUUUAUAGA
Onthophagus taurus is the source of this 393-nucleotide non-coding RNA. The record is from RefSeq and is a predicted model, not a curated record. Lineage: Eukaryota; Metazoa; Arthropoda; Insecta; Coleoptera; Scarabaeidae.